This 496-nucleotide ribosomal RNA is filed under the name uncultured bacterium. RNAcentral describes it as "partial 16S ribosomal RNA". It matches the Rfam family "Bacterial small subunit ribosomal RNA", at positions 28 to 506 of the family's 1533-position model. The record is from RNAcentral.
GAUGAACGCUGGCGGCGUGCCUAAUACAUGCAAGUCGAGCGAACAGACGAGGAGCUUGCUCCUCUGACGUUAGCGGCGGACGGGUGAGUAACACGUGGAUAACCUACCUAUAAGACUGGGAUAACUUCGGGAAACCGGAGCUAAUACCGGAUAAUAUAUUGAACCGCAUGGUUCAAUAGUGAAAGACGGUUUUGCUGUCACUUAUAGAUGGAUCCGCGCCGCAUUAGCUAGUUGGUAAGGUAACGGCUUACCAAGGCGACGAUGCGUAGCCGACCUGAGAGGGUGAUCGGCCACACUGGAACUGAGACACGGUCCAGACUCCUACGGGAGGCAGCAGUAGGGAAUCUUCCGCAAUGGGCGAAAGCCUGACGGAGCAACGCCGCGUGAGUGAUGAAGGUCUUCGGAUCGUAAAACUCUGUAAUUAGGGAAGAACAAAUGUGUAAGUAACUAUGCACGUCUUGACGGUACCUAAUCAGAAAACCACGGCUAACUACGU